UUACGGCCACAUAAGUUUGAAACACCUAUUCCCGUACAAUCACCGAAGUUAACUAACAUUGAGCCUGGUCAGUAUCUAGAUGGGUGACCGCUCGGUAAUAGCAUCUGUUGUAA
Non-coding RNA from Acanthosepion pharaonis, 113 nucleotides. NCBI's taxonomy places the organism in Eukaryota, Metazoa, Mollusca, Cephalopoda, Sepiida, Sepiidae. The record is from the annotation of a GenBank genome assembly.